GGUCCAGAGAGAGAGCCAUUAGAUGCUUUGGGUUCUUCUGAAGGGCUUGAAAUUGCAGUGAGUUCCUCAGUCUUUGUCACAUCCAGAGAGGGAAAGCAAGGGGACACAGGCCAUUGAGAAGCAGCCUGGCAGAGUGGCUAAGGGUACAAAACUGGAGCCGGACUACCAGGGUGUGGCUCUCAACUCCAGCACUGAUAGAUCUGUGACUGUGAGCAAGUCAUAAGCUCUCAGUGUCUCAGCAUCCUCCAUCUGUCACAUGGUAGCAAUAAUUGUACCCACUCUAAGGCUUUAUGAGGAUUAAAUGAUUUAACAUUAUAAAGUGCUUAGAACACUGCCUGGCACCUAGUAAGCACUAGAUAAACAUUUGCUAAAUAAAUUCACAGAGAUCCUUGUUCAUCAGAAGCCAGAGCCAGAGACCUUCCAUCAGUAGAUCUCACUGAUGUCCCUCUUCCUUUUUGCAGCCUCCUGCCCUCCCACAGAUGAUCCCACAGAUGGUCGAUCAAAGGCACAGC
This 512-nucleotide long non-coding RNA is filed under the name Marmota monax (woodchuck). The record is from RNAcentral. Lineage: Eukaryota; Metazoa; Chordata; Mammalia; Rodentia; Sciuridae.